GGGGAUGUUCUGGCUUCGACGCUGGUAAUGAAACCUAAUGAUGCACGUCAAGAGCGUAUGUCUCUUGUAAAUCAACAUACAAUUUAAAAUAGUCGCAAACGACGAAACUUACGCACUAGCAGCCUAAGGGCUACUUGGGUCGGCACAGAUUGCCUUUGGUCUGGUUGCUCACCCCGAUGCGAACGCACAAAGGAUAGCAUCUGUUAGCGUUGCGAUGGCAGGUGUGAACUCUUAGCAAAUCGUCCAAUCCACCCUGACUGUCGGGUCGGUGCGGAUUAAAGCCAAAGACAGACUCUAAGCGUGUAGAGUCAUGGGCGUAGUGCUGGCGGACGCGGGUUCAACUCCCGCCAUCUCCACCA
Non-coding RNA from Moraxella lacunata, 359 nucleotides. NCBI's taxonomy places the organism in Bacteria, Pseudomonadati, Pseudomonadota, Gammaproteobacteria, Moraxellales, Moraxellaceae. The record is from Rfam.